AACCUUACCAGGUCUUGACAUCCUCUGACAAUCUGAGAGAUCAGACUUUCCCUUCGGGGACAGAGAGACAGGUGGUGCAUGGUUGUCGUCAGCUCGUGUCGUGAGAUGUUGGGUUAAGUCCCGCAACGAGCGCAACCCCUGUGGUUAGUUGCCAUCAUUUAGUUGGGCACUCUAAGCAGACUGCCGUGGAUAACACGGAGGAAGGUGGGGACGACGUCAAAUCAUCAUGCCCCUUAUGACCUGGGCUACACACGUGCUACAAUGGUCUGAACAGAGGGCUGCGAAACCGCGAGGUGAAGCUAAUCCCUUAAAACAGAUCUCAGUUCGGAUUGCAGGCUGCAACUCGCCUGCAUGAAGUUGGAGUUGCUAGUAAUCGCAGAUCAGAAUGCUGCGGUGAAUGCGUUCCCGGGUCUU
Molecule: ribosomal RNA, 414 nt
Filed under: uncultured Acetobacterium sp.
Lineage: Bacteria; Bacillati; Bacillota; Clostridia; Eubacteriales; Eubacteriaceae
Description: bacterial SSU rRNA
Rfam family: Bacterial small subunit ribosomal RNA
Source: RNAcentral